AAUCUUCCGCAAUGGACGAAAGUCUGACGGAGCAACGCCGCGUGAGUGAUGAAGGCUUNCGGAUCNUNACACUCUGUUGUAAGGGNCGAACAAGUACAGGAGUAACUGGCUGUACCUUGACGGUACCUUAUUAGAAAGCCACGGCUAACUACGUUCCAGCAGCCGCGGUAACACGUAGGUGGCAAGCGUUGUCCGGAAUUAUUGGGCGUAAAGCGCGCGCAGGCGGUCUCUUAAGUCAGAUGGGAAAGCCCCCGGCUCAACCGGGGAGGGUCAUUGGAAACUGGGAGAAUUGAGUGCAGAAGAGAAGAGCGGAAUUCAACGUGUAGCGGUGAAAGGCGUAGGGAUGUGGAGGAACACCAGUGGCGAAGGCGGCUCGUUGGUCUGUAACUGACGCUGAGGCGCGAAAGCGUGGGGAGCAAACAGG
This 424-nucleotide ribosomal RNA is filed under the name uncultured bacterium. RNAcentral's name for it is "partial 16S ribosomal RNA". It matches the Rfam family "Bacterial small subunit ribosomal RNA", at positions 360 to 776 of the family's 1533-position model. The record is from RNAcentral.